UACGUAGGAGGCAAGCGUUAUCCGGAUUUACUGGGCGUAAAGCGGGUGUAGGCGGCUUUUCAAGUCGGAUGUGAAAUCUCCCGGCUUAACUGGGAGGGUGCAUUCGAAACUGAUGGGCUAGAGUGCAGCAGAGGGAAGUGGAAUUCCCGGUGUAGUGGUGAAAUGCGUAGAUAUCGGGAAGAACACUAGUGGCGAAGGCGGCUUCCUGGGCUGUUACUGACGCUGAGAUCCGAAGGCGUGGGGAG
Molecule: ribosomal RNA, 245 nt
Filed under: uncultured bacterium
Lineage: Bacteria
Description: partial 16S ribosomal RNA
Rfam family: Bacterial small subunit ribosomal RNA
Source: RNAcentral